UACGUAGGGGGCUAGCGUUGUCCGGAUUUAUUGGGCGUAAAGAGCGUGUAGGCGGCCAGAUAGGUCUGCUGUGAAAACUCGAGGCUCAACCUCGAGAUGUCGGCGGAAACCAUUUGGCUAGAGUCCGGAAGAGGAAAGUGGAAUUCCUGGUGUAGCGGUGAAAUGCGCAGAUAUCAGGAAGAACACCCGUGGCGAAGGCGGCUUUCUGGGACGGUACUGACGCUGAGAAGCGAAAGCAUGGGGAGCGAACAGG
RNAcentral lists this ribosomal RNA (253 nucleotides) under uncultured bacterium. RNAcentral describes it as "partial 16S ribosomal RNA". It matches the Rfam family "Bacterial small subunit ribosomal RNA", at positions 524 to 776 of the family's 1533-position model. The record is from RNAcentral.